This 91-nucleotide transfer RNA is filed under the name Rothia mucilaginosa ATCC 25296. RNAcentral's name for it is "tRNA-Ser". It matches the Rfam family "tRNA". Rfam says of the family: Transfer RNA (tRNA) molecules are approximately 80 nucleotides in length. Their secondary structure includes four short double-helical elements and three loops (D, anti-codon, and T loops). The record is from RNAcentral. Lineage: Bacteria; Bacillati; Actinomycetota; Actinomycetes; Micrococcales; Micrococcaceae.
UGGAGGAUUCGCCUAGCGGCCUAUGGCGCACGCCUGGAACGCGUGUUGGGUUAACAGCCCUCGGGGGUUCAAAUCCCCCAUCCUCCGCCAC